Long non-coding RNA from Acinonyx jubatus (cheetah), 308 nucleotides. RefSeq lists it as uncharacterized. The transcript has 3 exons. NCBI's taxonomy places the organism in Eukaryota, Metazoa, Chordata, Mammalia, Carnivora, Felidae. The record is from RefSeq and is a predicted model, not a curated record.
CUUUAUGACCUAAUACAAAUGAUGCUUCUUCUGUGAAGCCUUCCCUGCCCUCCCCAGGGAGAUAAUCACUCUCCUCUCUGCUUUCACAUAUAUUAUGGCAUGUCUCUUUAUAUGUUGUUCUCUCCCAAAUGUCUUAGAAGAUUCAUGGGGCAAUCUGAUUGAGGAAGAGGUAUCCUAGAAACAUCUACUGAUGAACAAAAAUAUCAGGUAAAGAAAUAAAAGAGGACAAGAAAAGAUGUUUUCCCAUCCCUGACAUUUUCUGGUCCAGCAAGGACAAGCUGAAAAGCUGAUUAACAAGGUAAUGUGCA